Molecule: ribosomal RNA, 332 nt
Filed under: uncultured eukaryote
Lineage: Eukaryota
Description: partial 18S ribosomal RNA
Rfam family: Eukaryotic small subunit ribosomal RNA
Source: RNAcentral
CCCUUAGGUGUCCUGGGCUGCACACGUGCUACACUGGCAGGUUCAGCGAGCUUCAUGCCCUGAUCUGAAAGGAAUGGGAAAUCUUUUCAAAACCUGCCGUGCUUGGGAUAGAUGUUUGCAAUUAUUCAUCUUCAACGAGGAUUGCCUUGUAAGCGCACGUCAUCAGCGUGCAUUGAAUACGACCCUGUAUUCUGUACACACCGCCCGUCGCUCCUACCGAUUGAAGUUUUCGGUGAGUUGACAGGAGGAUUUUUUUGAAACUGGUUCGCCAGUGGAUUUUAGAUCCAAAUGCCAACGAAUCGAUGGCUUUAGAGGAAGGAGAAGUCGUAACA